AACGCACCUUGCGCUCCUUGGUAUUCCUUGGAGCAUGCCUGUUUGAGUAUCAUGAGCAAAUCUCAAAGUCGAACCUUUUGUUAAUUCAAUUGGUUUUCGCUUUGGACUUGGAGGUCUUGCAGAUUUCACCGUCUGCUCCUCUUAAAUGCAGUAGCUGGAUCUCAGUAUUAUGCUUGGUUCCACUCGGCGUGAUAAGUAUCACUCGCUGAGGACACUGGUAAAAAGGUGGCCAGGAAAAUACUGAUCGAACCGCUUCUAACGGUCUAUUAACUUAGACAAUUACCCCCCCUUAAGUUUGAUCUCAAAUCAGGUAGGACUACCCGCUGAACUUAA
This 333-nucleotide unclassified non-coding RNA is filed under the name uncultured Ceratobasidiaceae. RNAcentral's name for it is "sequence contains ITS2". The record is from RNAcentral. Lineage: Eukaryota; Fungi; Basidiomycota; Agaricomycetes; Cantharellales; Ceratobasidiaceae.